Molecule: ribosomal RNA, 94 nt
Filed under: Pyrodictium sp.
Lineage: Archaea; Thermoproteati; Thermoproteota; Thermoprotei; Desulfurococcales; Pyrodictiaceae
Source: RNAcentral
ACCCGGUCCCAUUUCGAACCCGGAAGUUAAGCCGGCCGCGUUGGGGGUAGCUGUGGAGUCCGCGAGGCUCCGCAGCUCCCCCAAGCCGGGAUCG